UGGGGAAUAUUGCACAAUGGGCGCAAGCCUGAUGCAGCCAUGCCGCGUGUGUGAAGAAGGCCUUCGGGUUGUAAAGCACUUUCAGCGGGGAGGAAGGCGAUAAGGUUAAUAACCUUGUCGAUUGACGUUACCCGCAGAAGAAGCACCGGCUAACUCCGUGCCAGCAGCCGCGGUAAUACGGAGGGUGCAAGCGUUAAUCGGAAUUACUGGGCGUAAAGCGCACGCAGGCGGUCUGUCAAGUUGGAUGUGAAAUCCCCGGGCUCAACCUGGGAACUGCAUUCGAAACUGGCAGGCUAGAGUCUUGUAGAGGGGGGUAGAAUUCCAGGUGUAGCGGUGAAAUGCGUAGAGAUCUGGAGGAAUACCGGUGGCGAAGGCGGCCCCCUGGACAAAGACUGACGCUCAGGUGCGAAAGCGUGGGGAGCAAACAGG
Molecule: ribosomal RNA, 429 nt
Filed under: Chloroflexota bacterium
Lineage: Bacteria; Bacillati; Chloroflexota
Description: Chloroflexi bacterium partial 16S ribosomal RNA
Rfam family: Bacterial small subunit ribosomal RNA
Source: RNAcentral